Molecule: ribosomal RNA, 251 nt
Filed under: uncultured prokaryote
Description: partial 16S rRNA
Rfam family: Bacterial small subunit ribosomal RNA
Source: RNAcentral
ACGUAGGGGGCGAGCGUUGUCCGGAAUUACUGGGCGUAAAGGGUGCGUAGGUGGCCUUUUAAGUUGGAUGUGAAAUACCCGGGCUUAACUUGGGGGGUGCAUCUGAAACUGGAUGACUAGAGUACAGAAGAGGAAAGCGGAAUUCCCGGUGUAGAGGUGAAAUUCGUAGAUAUCAGGAGGAACACCAGUGGCGAAGGCGGUUUCCUGGUCUGUUACUGACGCUGAGGCGCGAAAGUGUGGGGAGCAAACAG